AUACGGAGGAUCCGAGCGUUAUCCGGAUUUAUUGGGUUUAAAGGGUGCGCAGGCGGCCAUUUAAGUCAGCGGUUAAAUCGUGGGGCUCAACCCCAUUCUGCAGUUGAUACUGGUUUCCUUGAGUACGGUACAGGUGGGCGGAAUUCGUGGUGGAGCGGUGAAAUGCUUAGAUAUCACGAAGAACUCCGAUCGCGAAGGCAGCUCACCGGGCCGGAACUGACACUGAUGCUCGAAAGUGCGGGUAUCAAACAGGAUUAGAUACCCUGGUAGUCCGCACAGUAAACGAUGAAUACUCGCUGUUUGCGAUACACUGUAAGCGGCCAAGCGAAAGCGUUAAGUAUUCCACCUGGGGAGUACGCCGGCAACGGUGAAACUCAAAUGAAUUGGGGGG
Molecule: ribosomal RNA, 391 nt
Filed under: uncultured bacterium
Lineage: Bacteria
Description: partial 16S ribosomal RNA
Rfam family: Bacterial small subunit ribosomal RNA
Source: RNAcentral